Molecule: transfer RNA, 74 nt
Filed under: Sedimentisphaerales bacterium
Lineage: Bacteria; Pseudomonadati; Planctomycetota; Phycisphaerae; Sedimentisphaerales
Description: tRNA-Trp
Rfam family: tRNA
About the family: Transfer RNA (tRNA) molecules are approximately 80 nucleotides in length.
Source: RNAcentral
AGGCCAGUAGCUUAACUUGGUAGAGCAGCGGUCUCCAAAACCGCAGGUUGGGGGUUCGAUUCCCUCCUGGCCUG